Molecule: unclassified non-coding RNA, 377 nt
Filed under: uncultured bacterium
Lineage: Bacteria
Description: contains 16S-23S intergenic spacer region
Source: RNAcentral
UCCGGUUUGUCACCGGCAGUCUCAUUAGAGUGCUCAACUGAAUGUAGCAACUAAUGACAAGGGUUGCGCCCGUUGCGGGACUUAACCCAACAUCUCAUGACACGAGCUGACGACAGCCAUGCAGCACCUGUGCACGGACUCCGAAGAGGAACCGAUGUUUCCACCGGCUUUCCCGUGCAUGUCAAGCCCAGGUAAGGUUCUUCGCGUUGCUUCGAAUUAAGCCACAUACUCCACCGCUUGUGCGGGCCCCCGUCAAUUUCUUUGAGUUUUAAUCUUGCGACCGUACUCCCCAGGCGGCACGUUUAACGCGUUAGCUCCGGCGCGGAAGGGGUCGAAUCCUCCCACACCAAACGUGCACCGUUUACUGCCAGGACUAC